UCUUGCCUUUUCUUCUGUUUAUUGUCACCUUCUGUCUACAAUAUAAUUUUUUGGGAAGAGAAAAGCCUUGGUGACCUGAGAUCCCCUGAAGUUACGUACACCACCGGUCCUGCUGGCCCAUUUUCCUGAUUCUGGGUUUCAUCCUCUAUGAAAAGCCCAGGGCCACCAGACAGAAUGGAGUCUAUUUAACAUGCAUGAAGCUAAUCUUCAACUCAGACUCAUUAAUGAAAGGACAGCAUGUGAAUAUUGCAAUGAGGAGCAAUUGUCUUGCUGAGUUAGUGAACAGAAAUACAAAAUGAGAAGAAAACACUGAAAUGGAAA
This is a long non-coding RNA of Cyanistes caeruleus (blue tit), 321 nucleotides long. RefSeq lists it as uncharacterized. NCBI's taxonomy places the organism in Eukaryota, Metazoa, Chordata, Aves, Passeriformes, Paridae. The record is from RefSeq and is a predicted model, not a curated record.